This 362-nucleotide transfer-messenger RNA is filed under the name Enterococcus diestrammenae. It matches the Rfam family "transfer-messenger RNA". From Rfam's summary of the family: Bacterial tmRNA, also known as 10Sa RNA or SsrA, is named for its dual tRNA and mRNA-like properties. Its role is to liberate the mRNA from a stalled ribosome. Lineage: Bacteria; Bacillati; Bacillota; Bacilli; Lactobacillales; Enterococcaceae. The record is from RNAcentral.
GGGGCUGUUACGGAUUCGACAGGCAUUGUCGAGCUCGAAUCGCGCUUCGAAGGUUACGUCUUCGUUAAAACGUUACAGUUAAAUAUAACUGCUAAAAACGAAAACAACUACGCUUUAGCUGCCUAAUAACAGUUUAGCGUGAUCCUCCCGGCAUCGCCCAUGUGCUCGGGUCAGGGUCUCAAAUGAAGUGGGAUACGCUAAGUCUUUCCGUCUGCAAGCCUUAGAAGAGAUCAUCAGACUAGCAACAUCAGUAGCCUGUCAUUCGGCGAUUGAUCGCGCGAAACCUUAAAUAGAACUGACUAUGAGCGUAGACUUUUGGGUAGCGAGAUGUUUGGACGCGGGUUCGACUCCCGCCAGCUCCA